Molecule: ribosomal RNA, 253 nt
Filed under: uncultured bacterium
Lineage: Bacteria
Description: partial 16S ribosomal RNA
Rfam family: Bacterial small subunit ribosomal RNA
Source: RNAcentral
UACGAGGGGGGCGAGCGUUGUUCGGAAUUAUUGGGCGUAAAGGGCGCGUAGGCGGUUGGAUAAGCCUUGUGUGAAAUCUUCGGGCUCAACUCGAAGUCUGCACGAGAAACUAUCUGGCUUGAGUGUGGGAGAGGUGAGUGGAAUUCCGGGUGUAGCGGUGGAAUGCGUAGAGAUCCGGAAGAACACCGGUGGCGAAGGCGGCCUGCUGGGCAGUUGCUGACACUGAGGCGCGACAGCGUGGGGAGCAAACAGG